AUUGAACGCUGGCGGAAUGCUUUACACAUGCAAGUCGAGCGGCAGCACGGGGGCAGCCCUGGUGGCGAGCGGCGAACGGGUGAGUAAUACAUCGGAACAUACCCAGUCGUGGGGGAUAACACUUCGAAAGAAGUGCUAAUACCGCAUACGUCCUGAGGGGGAAAGCGGGGGAUCGCAAGACCUCGCGCGAUUGGAGUGGCCGAUGUCAGAUUAGCUAGUUGGUGGGGUAAAGGCCUACCAAGGCAACGAUCUGUAGCUGGUCUGAGAGGAUGAUCAGCCACACUGGGACUGAGACACGGCCCAGACUCCUACGGGAGGCAGCAGUGGGGAAUUUUGGACAAUGGGGGCAACCCUGAUCCAGCCAUGCCGCGUGAGUGAAGAAGGCCUUCGGGUUGUAAAGCUCUUUCGGCAGGAACGAAACGGUGAGCUCUAACAUAGCUUGCUAAUGACGGUACCUGAAGAAGAAGCACCGGCUAACUACGUG
RNAcentral lists this ribosomal RNA (484 nucleotides) under uncultured bacterium. Its description in RNAcentral is "partial 16S ribosomal RNA". It matches the Rfam family "Bacterial small subunit ribosomal RNA", at positions 30 to 507 of the family's 1533-position model. The record is from RNAcentral.